This 229-nucleotide ribosomal RNA is filed under the name uncultured bacterium. RNAcentral describes it as "partial 16S ribosomal RNA". It matches the Rfam family "Bacterial small subunit ribosomal RNA", at positions 568 to 796 of the family's 1533-position model. The record is from RNAcentral.
CAUGUAGGCGGCUGGUCAAGCAUCUUGUGAAAUCCCUCGGCUCAACCGAGGAAUUGCGAGGUGAACUGACCGGCUUGAGCUGCACAUGGGUGACUGGAACUCUAGGUGGAGUGGUGAAAUACGUAGAUAUCUAGAGGAACGCCGGUGGUGAAAACGGGUCACUGGAUGCAUGCUGACGCUGAGAUGCGAAAGCGUGGGUAGCGAACAGGAUUAGAUACCCUGGUAGUCC